GUCCACGCCGUAAACGAUGGAUGCCAGCCGUUGGCAAGCAUGCUUGUCAGUGGCGCAGCUAACGCAUUAAGCAUCCCGCCUGGGGAGUACGGCCGCAAGGUUGAAACUCAAAGGAAUUGACGGGGGCCCGCACAAGCGGUGGAGCAUGUGGUUUAAUUCGACGCAACGCGCAGAACCUUACCAGGGUUUGACAUCCUGUGCUCGGCUCAGAAAUGGGCUUUCCCCGCAAGGGGCGCAGAGACAGGUGCUGCAUGGCUGUCGU
This 262-nucleotide ribosomal RNA is filed under the name uncultured bacterium. RNAcentral describes it as "partial 16S ribosomal RNA". It matches the Rfam family "Bacterial small subunit ribosomal RNA", at positions 793 to 1055 of the family's 1533-position model. The record is from RNAcentral.